ACUCAAAUGAAUUGACGGGGGCCCGCACAAGCGGUGGAGCAUGUGGUUUAAUUCGACGCAACGCGAAGAACCUUACCAGGGCUUGACAUCCCCGGAACUUCUCCGAAAGGAGGAGGUGCCCGCAAGGGAGCCGGGAGACAGGUGGUGCAUGGCUGUCGUCAGCUCGUGUCGUGAGAUGUUGGGUUAAGUCCCGCAACGAGCGCAACCCUCGCCCUUUGUUGCCAGCAGGUCAUGCUGGGCACUCUAAGGGAACUGCCGGCGUCAAGCCGGAGGAAGGUGGGGACGACGUCAAGUCAUCAUGCCCCUUACGCCCUGGGCUACACACGUGCUACAAUGGCCGGUACAGAGGGACGCGAGACCGCGAGGUGGAGCUAAUCCCAAAAAGCCGGUCUAAGUUCAGAUUGCAGGCUGCAACUCGCCUGCAUGAAGGAGGAAUCGCUAGUAAUCGCGCAUCAGCACGGCGCGGUGAAUACGUUCCCGGGCCUUGCACACACCGCCCGU
Molecule: ribosomal RNA, 501 nt
Filed under: uncultured bacterium
Lineage: Bacteria
Description: partial 16S ribosomal RNA
Rfam family: Bacterial small subunit ribosomal RNA
Source: RNAcentral